CCUCGCUUCGUCUCUUUUACCUCGCGCUAGCUAGUAGCUCCGCCGCAUUCGUACGUGCUACUAAAAAGGCACACGCGUUCGAUAGAGAGUUGCGUGCUCGCCCGUACAGAGAAAAAUUCCCCUACUCGAAAAUUCGUUUCUAACUGAUGUUUCACGGGUGUUUCACGUCGGAUCGUCGAUAAAUUAUGCGUGUACACAUAGGAGGAUAGCCGAUAGGAUAGGGGACAGGCGAGAAGAGUGGAGGCCAAGUGUCGUAGAGAAAACUGGAACUUCGGUCGUGUGUUGUGAAAAGAAAAAGAGAAAAAAAAAAAAAAGAAAAAAGGAAAAGAAGAAGGAGAGAAGAGAAGCAAGGUGGGUGUCUUUUUAUAAAUAAAGCUGCAGAAAGAGGAAGGAAAGAGUUACGCCCGCCGCUGGUGUUCCGUCAGAAUUCGUUGUCUCGCUCGGCCACAGUUUCGAGCAAUUUCGUGCUCAUCAAGUUCCAGCGUAUUUGCCGCUGUUUCGACGUGCUGACUCCACCGAGAGCUGAUACAAGAGCAAAGAGAGAGAGAGAGAGAGAGAGAGAGAGAGAGAGAGAGAGAGAGAGAGAGAGAGAAAGAAGCCUGGAAUUGC
This is a long non-coding RNA of Frieseomelitta varia, 609 nucleotides long. RefSeq lists it as uncharacterized. The transcript is spliced from 2 exons. NCBI's taxonomy places the organism in Eukaryota, Metazoa, Arthropoda, Insecta, Hymenoptera, Apidae. The record is from RefSeq and is a predicted model, not a curated record.